Ornithorhynchus anatinus (platypus) is the source of this 639-nucleotide long non-coding RNA. RefSeq lists it as uncharacterized. The record is from RefSeq and is a predicted model, not a curated record. The transcript has 3 exons. NCBI's taxonomy places the organism in Eukaryota, Metazoa, Chordata, Mammalia, Monotremata, Ornithorhynchidae.
GGAAAUAAGGAAGUAGGGAGAGGAGAAAGGAGAGAAGCUGAAUAGGAGAAAAGCCGAGCGGGGAGGUGCAGUGGAACAAGCCAGCUUUUUUAGAGCAACAAGGUCAGAGGAGGAAUUGGAGGAGAAACUGAAUUAUCUUGCUGAGAAGUUUGAGGAGGACUUGAAUUUCUGAGAAGAAAUGAAAUUGUUUUACAGAAGAGUUUGAGGAGGAGCUAAAUUGCCCUGCUGUCAAGGAAGACUGCCGGAUAAGCCCACAAGUGUUGAGCCUCCCUCUGCUGCAGCUCCUCCUGUCAAGUUCCACAGCAUACUGACCUAGGAGAAGAAUGCCAAGGCUCUGGAGAAAGUGGUCACUCAGAGGCAGUCUGGAGAAAGGCUCUAAGAUCACACAAAAGCUACAUAUUUCUGCAAAACAAUACCUUCGUUGAUAUCGUGCCUAGAACAAUGAAGGUGAUGUCACGUGUGUCUCCUUGAGCAGAAUAUGGGUGGGCCAUCCAUGGCCAUGGUGGUGGAAUGGGAGAAAUCGCAAUCACAAUUAGGCUCAAUCUUGCCUGUGGUAAAUGGUGAUGUUGGUCUGCUACAAUCCUAAAAUUAGGUUCUUGUUUCAGUUCUCUCAUUGACUCGAAUAAAAGAUUUACCUUA